AUGGGACUGCCGGUGACAAACCGGAGGAAGGUGGGGAUGACGUCAAGUCCUCAUGGCCCUUAUAGGUGGGGCUACACACGUCAUACAAUGGCUGGUACAGAGGGUUGCCAACCCGCGAGGGGGAGCUAAUCCCAUAAAGCCAGUCGUAGUCCGGAUCGCAGUCUGCAACUCGACUGCGUGAAGUCGGAAUCGCUAGUAAUCGCGGAUCAGAAUGUCGCGGUGAAUACGUUCCCGGGUCUUGUACACACCGCCCGUCACACCAUGGGAGCGGGUUCUGCCAGAAGUAGGUAGCCUAACCGUAAGGAGGGCGCUUACCACGGCAGGGUUCGUGACUGGGGUGAAGUCGUAACAAGGUAGCCGUAUCGGAAGGUGCGGCUGGAUCACCUCCUUU
RNAcentral lists this ribosomal RNA (391 nucleotides) under Staphylococcus pseudintermedius. Its description in RNAcentral is "bacterial SSU rRNA". It matches the Rfam family "Bacterial small subunit ribosomal RNA", at positions 1143 to 1533 of the family's 1533-position model. Lineage: Bacteria; Bacillati; Bacillota; Bacilli; Caryophanales; Staphylococcaceae. The record is from RNAcentral.